RNAcentral lists this ribosomal RNA (497 nucleotides) under uncultured bacterium. RNAcentral describes it as "partial 16S ribosomal RNA". It matches the Rfam family "Bacterial small subunit ribosomal RNA", at positions 28 to 507 of the family's 1533-position model. The record is from RNAcentral.
GAUGAACGCUGGCGGCGUGCCUAAUACAUGCAAGUCGAGCGAACGGACGAGAAGCUUGCUUCUCUGAUGUUAGCGGCGGACGGGUGAGUAACACGUGGAUAACCUACCUAUAAGACUGGGAUAACUUCGGGAAACCGGAGCUAAUACCGGAUAAUAUUUUGAACCGCAUGGUUCAAAAGUGAAAGACGGUCUUGCUGUCACUUAUAGAUGGAUCCGCGCUGCAUUAGCUAGUUGGAAAGGUAACGGCUUACCAAGGCAACGAUGCAUAGCCGACCUGAGAGGGUGAUCGGCCACACUGGAACUGAGACACGGUCCAGACUCCUACGGGAGGCAGCAGUAGGGAAUCUUCCGCAAUGGGCGAAAGCCUGACGGAGCAACGCCGCGUGAGUGAUGAAGGUCUUCGGAUCGUAAAACUCUGUUAUUAGGGAAGAACAUAUGUGUAAGUAACUGUGCACAUCUUGACGGUACCUAAUCAGAAAGCCACGGCUAACUACGUG